CCUACGGGAGGCAGCAGUGAGGAAUAUUGGUCAAUGGACGCAAGUCUGAACCAGCCAUGCCGCGUGCAGGAAGACGGCUCUAUGUGUUGUAAACUUCUUUUGUACGAGGGUAAACGCAGAUACGCGUAUCUGUCUGAGAGUAUCGUACGAAUAAGGAUCGGCUAACUCCGUGCCAGCAGCCGCGGUAAUACGGAGGAUUCAAGCGUUAUCCGGAUUUAUUGGGGUUAAAGGGUGCGUAGGCGGUCGGAUAAGUUAGCGGGGAAAUACCAGGGCGCAACUUCGGAAUUGCCUGUGAUACUGGCAGGCUAGAGAGGAGUAGAGGUAGGCGGAAGGCACGGUGUAGCGGUGAAAUGCUUAGAGAUCACACAGAACACCGAUUGCGAAGGCAGCAUACCAAGCUACUUCUGACGCUGAGGCACGAAAGCGUGGGUAGCAAACAGGAUUAGAUACCCCAGUAGUC
RNAcentral lists this ribosomal RNA (460 nucleotides) under uncultured bacterium. RNAcentral describes it as "partial 16S ribosomal RNA". It matches the Rfam family "Bacterial small subunit ribosomal RNA", at positions 338 to 795 of the family's 1533-position model. The record is from RNAcentral.